RNAcentral lists this ribosomal RNA (225 nucleotides) under uncultured bacterium. RNAcentral describes it as "partial 16S ribosomal RNA". It matches the Rfam family "Bacterial small subunit ribosomal RNA", at positions 122 to 334 of the family's 1533-position model. The record is from RNAcentral.
UGACCUGCCUUCGAGCGGGGGAUAACGUUCCGAAAGGGACGCUAAUACCGCAUGACAUCCCGUCUUUCAAGAGAUGGCGAUCAAAGCUGGGGAUCGCAAGACCCAGCACUCGAAGAGGGGCCCGCGUCCGAUUAGCUAGUUGGUGGGGUAACGGCUCACCAAGGCAUCGAUCGGUAGCCGGCCUGAGAGGGUGAUCGGCCACACUGGAACUGAGACACGGUCCAG